Molecule: long non-coding RNA, 270 nt
Filed under: Coturnix japonica (Japanese quail)
Lineage: Eukaryota; Metazoa; Chordata; Aves; Galliformes; Phasianidae
Description: lncRNA (ENSCJPG00005017979.1)
Source: RNAcentral
UGCACUUCUAGACCAUCUGCUAUACUGGUUUUGCAGACUGGAAUAGGUGCACUGGAAAGAGGGCAACCAUCCGUCACAGGGAUGGUUACACAAGAAAACAGCAAAAACUAUUAUUCCAUUGUCAACAUCGAGUCCCUAAAAUUGCUGCAAUGGGGCAUACAACAAUCUGAAAUAUCGUCUGGAAUUUGCAGUGACAAUAAUGGAAUUUUGAAUGGCAAAGGAAAAGAGCAGGUAGCUCAGACAUCAUAUCAAGUGAGAGAAGAUGCUUAG